GACGAACGCUGGCGGUGUGCUUAACACAUGCAAGUCGAACGGAAAGGCCCUGCUUUUGUGGGGUGCUCGAGUGGCGAACGGGUGAGUAACACGUGAGUAACCUGCCCUUGACUUUGGGAUAACUUCAGGAAACUGGGGCUAAUACCGGAUAGGAGCUCCUGCUGCAUGGUGGGGGUUGGAAAGUUUCGGCGGUUGGGGAUGGACUCGCGGCUUAUCAGCUUGUUGGUGGGGUAGUGGCUUACCAAGGCUUUGACGGGUAGCCGGCCUGAGAGGGUGACCGGCCACAUUGGGACUGAGAUACGGCCCAGACUCCUACGGGAGGCAGCAGUGGGGAAUAUUGCACAAUGGGCGGAAGCCUGAUGCAGCAACGCCGCGUGCAGGAUGACGGCCUUCGGGUUGUAAACCGCUUUCGCCUGUAACGAAGCGUGAGUGACGGUAAUGGGUAAAGAAGCACCGGCUAACUACGUG
RNAcentral lists this ribosomal RNA (468 nucleotides) under uncultured bacterium. RNAcentral describes it as "partial 16S ribosomal RNA". It matches the Rfam family "Bacterial small subunit ribosomal RNA", at positions 28 to 507 of the family's 1533-position model. The record is from RNAcentral.